Zootoca vivipara (common lizard) is the source of this 1081-nucleotide long non-coding RNA. RefSeq lists it as uncharacterized. The record is from RefSeq and is a predicted model, not a curated record. NCBI's taxonomy places the organism in Eukaryota, Metazoa, Chordata, Lepidosauria, Squamata, Lacertidae.
UUGUAGUGACUGAUGUUGAUUUAGUGGAUAAACAUUGAACAUCUCACCACAUACCUGCAUACCAGCCUGUAUUAGUGAGUCCUUCUGCCUGAGACAAAUGACCCCUUGGCUAACCUCUGUUGGGUGAGGGAUUCCUCCCCCUGCAACCUAGAAUGCUCUGCAAUAUGCCCAAGAUUCAUGUCACAACAUGCAGUUACUCCUAAGCUUUUCUCUCUCUAACAUGUACUCUGCACAGACGGCCUGGAGCUUGUUGAUUUCUGUAGCCUCCGGCCGGUCAUGAAAAGCUUCCGACAGUGGCCUUUGUUUUGCUUUUUUUGUAGAAUGACGCAUCCAUUUCCAGGCUUGCAAGGGCUGUUUCCUUUUUCAAAGAACAGCUCGCGGACCAAGCCUAAAUCCAUCUGUGCUGAAAGCUCUGCUCAGAGUGUUAAAUCAAGCCAGACAUACCAUCGCGUUAGCCUAGCUUUCUCUUGGACUGUCAAGCCUCUCUUGAUAACUCUCCUAAGAAAAAUCAGAGCAUCUGGGGUACAGCACGGAUACUUGCCAUGCUGAGGAGAUGGAGAAGAAUUCUGGAUUUCUGCAACUUGUGGUCUUGAAUUUCAUGCCACCAAGUUUUGCUGGCAUUCAUUAACCAGAAGACCAAUUACUGCAGGACCUGACAUCGAAGGCAGAAAGUGACGGUGCCAGCCACGGACACCCCAGUCUGGAAAACGGAUCUUCUUGGAUGCCAGUACUACUGAUGCCAUAUUCUGCCUGUGCAAAAUAGAGAGGAGAAAGGAAGUUGGAAGUGAGAGGUAUGCCUUCAAGUCUUCAAAAUCUGGGUAAAUAUGCAUCCCAAUGAGUGGAAGAGAGUUCUCCCACCAGAAUACAAAUUAAUUAAAAAUCAAACUGGUUGUAGGAACCCUGCAGAGACAAAGUGCAGAGGUAAACAGUGUGCCUGCCAUCUACUUGCUGUUCUUAAUGUGAGCUGCCACAAGAUGAAGGUGUUCUAAGUAAGUUUCCAAAGCGGUGGGGGGGAAACAGGCUCCAGCCUUGCUCUCUGAGUUAAAAGAUAGAACAUUCCCUGGAUACCUUGCUGUAUUUU